Non-coding RNA from Arachis ipaensis, 1916 nucleotides. NCBI's taxonomy places the organism in Eukaryota, Viridiplantae, Streptophyta, Magnoliopsida, Fabales, Fabaceae. The record is from RefSeq and is a predicted model, not a curated record.
CUUACCUAUUAAUUUGCUGAUAUUUUUUUUCUUUGUUAACAAUACAUUGUGCCAACAUAACUAUGUUACAAGAUAACAAGGAGAAAGUUAAAGUGAAAGAAUCCAUAUCCUAAGAUUUCUACUUUUGAUGAUGCCGGUAAAGCCAGUAUUGAAAGCGGGGACUCAACUUCAAGCUUGUCGUCGUCGUCCUUUGAGAAAUUUUUCAUCAACGUUGAACAAUCAGUCAAUAUCUCUCUCACGGAUUCUGUGAUAAAGAUACUUGAUACUUUGUACCAUGAUCGGGAUUAUGCAAGGUUUUUUGUUCUUGAAACAAUUGCCAGGGUUCCUUAUUUUGGUGAGUUGAUUCCACAAGUUUUACCCAAAAAUUCACAUAACAUGAGUUGAUUCCACAAGUUUUUACCCAAGUUGCAUUUUAGGACCACUUGGAUUUCAAAAUGAGGAAUAUAAUGGGAGCUUGCCUAAUUUGGUCUAUAGGCCAUACUCAUGGACAAAGACAAGUAGCAUUAUGAACAUGUUGAUACAUGCUUCACAUAUGCCAGAUCAGAAUCUGUCACAAUGCAAAGCGACUCAUUGUUAGUUAACCAAACUCAUUAAUUUCUUAGGAAGGUAUAUCUCUACAACUUUAUGGUGUUUUUAUUGAAUACUCACAAAUGGUUCUCUAUGUCUACUAAAGUAAACUUUUAUAAUCUUGUUAAAAAUCUUUGCAGUGGCUAAUAGAGCAAUAUUAAUAAUAAAUAAUAAUAAUAAUAACCUUGAUAUAUUAUGAACAUAAUGAAGUCAAUGAGUGUGCAAUAUUAUUAUGUUCUUGUUGCUGUUGUGGUCAUAUCUGCAAACCAAAAUUAUUUUCACUUUAUAUCUAUGUACUUCAAAAACCUUACUGUAUAUAUGUAUAUAUCCACAUGGCUGUACUAAUAAUUAUUAAAGGCAACAUGACAGAAACUUUUUUAAACCAGAUGAGCCGCUGUCUCUUCCCUGCAAAGCGUUUAAACACACACCAUUAUUAUAUGUAUAUCAUGUUUAAUUAUUAAAGGGUCCUUAAAAUUUACAUACUAAAUGUGAAGAUUUAUUAGUUUUAGAAAGUUACUCUCUACCAUUAAAAGCACUCUGUCUUCUUCAAUCCCUCAAACUUAGAAUAAGUUCCAUUCAUAUCUCACAACUACUUUUUUAUUACUUAAUUAAUUAGUAGCUUUAUUAGAGAUAGCUUAGCUUAGCUAGCUAUAGAGAGCUUCAAAGAUAAGAAUUGAGUGGCACUAAGCUAAAUUAGUUUCAUAUCUUUAGUUUAUAUUAAUAAUACUAACAAUGUUGCGGUGGGGUUUAUAUUUUUUUGUAUUUUAUAAUAUUUUUAUUAUUAAUUUUGAAGUCAAAAUUUGUGAUACUAGUUUCCAUCAAAUUUAUUCUAUAACUAUAUUCUAGUUUUUAUCAAUUCAACAAAGUUAUUCCUUCUACUAGUUUGUGCUUUGAGCUCCCGUAUGAAGUGUUCAAUUUACUACCUUUCAUUUCCUCAAGACAAUACUACUUCCAUUUCUUUGAUUAUUUUCCUGUUCUAUUUUAAAUUCAUAUUAACUAUUUCUUUUCUUGCUUGCCCCCAUUACUCAUUGUUUUUUUUCCCACUUUUAAUAACUUUUAAAACUUCAAAUGUGUCUUCUCUGGCAUGGUUCAUGUCAUAUCAAGAAACCAACUUUAUCACUAUUGGUCAAAGGCUUCUUGCCAAUCCUCUCAGGAUGCGGUUUCACUAUGGCCAUUCAGAUAUGUUUGAUAGAUCACUUUUUAUGUAAUUAGAUGAUAUUGAAAUAUUGAAGUUAUUUUAUUUUAUUUUUUAGAGAAAAAUAGUAAUAGUUAUGUAGAACAAUACCAUAUGUAAUUAUGUUUGAAAUUAUUGACAUUGAGAGUUUUUUUAUAUAUAGAGCUAUAUCUUA